RNAcentral lists this ribosomal RNA (253 nucleotides) under uncultured bacterium. Its description in RNAcentral is "partial 16S ribosomal RNA". It matches the Rfam family "Bacterial small subunit ribosomal RNA", at positions 524 to 776 of the family's 1533-position model. The record is from RNAcentral.
UACGGAGGGUGCAAACGUUGCUCGGAAUCAUUGGGCGUAAAGCGCACGUAGGCGGUCCGGCAAGUCGGGUGUGAAAUCCCUCGGCUUAACCGAGGAAGUGCAUUCGAAACUACCGGACUUGAAUACUGGAGAGGGUCGCGGAAUUCCCAGUGUAGCGGUGAAAUGCGUAGAUAUUGGGAGGAACACCAGUGGCGAGGGCGGCUCACUGGACCGGUACUGACGCUGAGGCGCGAAAGCGUGGGUAGCAAACAGG